Non-coding RNA from Myotis lucifugus (little brown bat), 75 nucleotides. Lineage: Eukaryota; Metazoa; Chordata; Mammalia; Chiroptera; Vespertilionidae. The record is from Rfam.
GGUGGUUCUCGGGUGACGCACUCCAGAAUUGGGCUCCCUCCUCUCUGGUUCAGGGUGCAUCACCUGAGAACCACC